Molecule: ribosomal RNA, 748 nt
Filed under: Synergistetes oral clone A3G_7
Lineage: Bacteria; Thermotogati; Synergistota
Description: bacterial SSU rRNA
Rfam family: Bacterial small subunit ribosomal RNA
Source: RNAcentral
GAUGAACGCUGGCGGCGUGCGUAACACAUGCAAGUUGAACGACGGUGUCAUGAAGUGGUAACACGGAAUGGCAUACGGAGUAGCGGACGGGUGAGUACAACAUGAGAAGCUGUCCUUCAGUGGGGGACAACGUCUGGAAGCGGACGCUAAUACCCCAUAGGCCGAGAGGUUAAAGCAGAGAUGCGCUGGAGGAGGUGCUCGUGCCCUAUCAGCUAGUUGGUGAGGUAAUGGCUCACCAAGGCGACGACGGGUAGCCGGCCUGAGAGGGUGACCGGCCACACUGGAACUGAGACACGGUCCAGACUCCUACGGGAGGCAGCAGUGGGGAAUAUUGGGCAAUGGGAGAAAUCCUGACCCAGCGACGCCGCGUGAACGAAGACGGCCUUCGGGUUGUAAAGUUCUUUUAUGUGGGAAGAAUUAAGUGACGGUACCACAUGAAUAAGCCCCGGCUAACUACGUGCCAGCAGCCGCGGUAAUACGUAGGGGGCGAGCGUUGUCCGGAAUUACUGGGCGUAAAGGGCACGCAGGCUGUGCUUCAAGUCAGCUGUAAAAGGAUGCGGCUUAACCGUGUUAUGCAGUUGAGACUGGGGUGCUGGAGUACCGGAGAGGCAAGUGGAAUUCCCAGUGUAGCGGUGAAAUGCGUAGAUAUUGGGAAGAACAUCGGUGGCGAAGGCGACUUGCUGGACGGUAACUGACGCUGAGGUGCGAAAGCCAGGGUAGCGAACGGGAUUAGAUACCCCGGUAGUCC